Molecule: ribosomal RNA, 322 nt
Filed under: Radix cf. plicatula TS-2021 Clade VI
Lineage: Eukaryota; Metazoa; Mollusca; Gastropoda; Lymnaeidae
Description: partial 28S ribosomal RNA
Source: RNAcentral
GGAAUUCAGCGUGUGCGGAGGGUCCGGGAAUCGGGCCGGGGAUCUUCGGACCCCGCCCAGCUCUCGACUGGGCCCGACGCCGCGUGCACUUUCCGCGGGCAGAGCGCCACGACCGGUUUCGCGGCGGCGAUAAGCCCGUUGCGGAUGCGUGGCACGAUCUCACGGUCGUGCUACGGCCGCUCGCGGUGAGCCGCUGUCGGGACCGAGGGACGGCCGCGCGCUUCGAGGCUGCCCGGCCUCGCUGGGGAGUUCGACUGGCAGGGACUGGGUAACCGUGCCUGCCGACUGCUCCCCGGUGCCGGUUCGGGACAGCCGGGCGCGU